RNAcentral lists this non-coding RNA (25 nucleotides) under Cricetulus griseus (Chinese hamster). Lineage: Eukaryota; Metazoa; Chordata; Mammalia; Rodentia; Cricetidae. The record is from RNAcentral.
GAGCAUGAUGGGGAGUGGGGAGGUG